This 253-nucleotide ribosomal RNA is filed under the name uncultured bacterium. RNAcentral describes it as "partial 16S ribosomal RNA". It matches the Rfam family "Bacterial small subunit ribosomal RNA", at positions 524 to 776 of the family's 1533-position model. The record is from RNAcentral.
GACGAACUGCCCAAACGUUGUUCGGAAUCACUGGGCUUAAAGGGCGCGUAGGCGGCAGAUCAAGUCAGGGGUGAAAUCCGGCAGCUCAACUGUCGAAGUGCCUUUGAUACUGAUUUGCUCGAGGGAGAUAGGGGUCUGUGGAACUUCUGGUGGAGCGGUGAAAUGUGUUGAGAUUGGAAGGAACGCCAGUGGCGAAAGCGGCGUGCUGGAUCUUUUCUGACGCUGAGGCGCGAAAGCUAGGGGAGCAAACGGG